Molecule: ribosomal RNA, 503 nt
Filed under: Salmonella enterica
Lineage: Bacteria; Pseudomonadati; Pseudomonadota; Gammaproteobacteria; Enterobacterales; Enterobacteriaceae
Also listed under: 1 other name
Description: partial 23S ribosomal RNA
Rfam family: Bacterial large subunit ribosomal RNA
Source: RNAcentral
GGGUUGUGAGGUUAAGCGACUAAGCGUACACGGUGGAUGCCCUGGCAGUCAGAGGCGAUGAAGGGCGUGCUAAUCUGCGAUAAGCGCCGGUAAGGUGAUAUGAACCGUUAUAACCGGCGAUACCCGAAUGGGGAAACCCAGUGUGAUUCGUCACACUAUCAUUAACUGAAUCCAUAGGUUAAUGAGGCGAACCGGGGGAACUGAAACAUCUAAGUACCCCGAGGAAAAGAAAUCAACCGAGAUUCCCCCAGUAGCGGCGAGCGAACGGGGAGGAGCCCAGAGCCUGAAUCAGCAUGUGUGUUAGUGGAAGCGUCUGGAAAGGCGCGCGAUACAGGGUGACAGCCCCGUACACAAAAGCGCAUAUGCUGUGAGCUCGAUGAGUAGGGCGGGACACGUGGUAUCCUGUCUGAAUAUGGGGGGACCAUCCUCCAAGGCUAAAUACUCCUGACUGACCGAUAGUGAACCAGUACCGUGAGGGAAAGGCGAAAAGAACCCCGGCGAGG